Molecule: transfer RNA, 71 nt
Filed under: Asarkina ericetorum
Lineage: Eukaryota; Metazoa; Arthropoda; Insecta; Diptera; Syrphidae
Also listed under: 7 other names
Description: tRNA-Lys
Source: RNAcentral
CAUUAAAUGACUGAAAGCAAGUACUGGUCUCUUAAACCAUGUUAUAGUAAUCUAGCAAUUACUUUUAAUGG